This 269-nucleotide ribosomal RNA is filed under the name uncultured bacterium. Its description in RNAcentral is "partial 16S ribosomal RNA". It matches the Rfam family "Bacterial small subunit ribosomal RNA", at positions 524 to 776 of the family's 1533-position model. The record is from RNAcentral.
UACGGAGGGUGCGAGCGUUGUCCGGAAUCACUGGGCGUAAAGGGCGCGUAGGCGGCUCGGUAAGGUUGCGGUGAAAGCCCGGGGCUCAACCCCGGGUCGGCCGUGGCAACUGCUGGGCUCGAGCACUGUAGAGGCAGGUGGAAUUCCGGGUGUAGCGGUGGAAUGCGUAGAGAUCCGGAAGAACACCGGUGGCGAAGGCGGCCUGCUGGGCAGUGACUGUAAUGGUCAAUAGCUGACGCUGAGGCGCGACAGCGUGGGGAGCAAACAGG